UAAAAACCCAAAAGGACCGGCUUCAGAGACCUUCCAGGUUGGUGAACACGCGGAGGUGCUGGGAGGGUGGUGGCCUGGAGGGGGCCUGGACUCGCCCCACCCCUGCCCCCUGCCUCGCCCUGUGCACCUCUUCCAUCUGGCUGUUCCCGAGGUGCCUCCAUGUAUAACAAACCCGUAAUCGAGUAAGCUGCUUUCCAAGAUCAGCAAAUCACUCUAGCAGAAGGGGCUUCAGGGAACCUCUCAUCUACAGCCAGUCGUCGGAAGCACAGAUGACAACCUAGACUCUCGAGUGGGGUCUGAAGUGAGCGCAGUCCUGCCGGACUGAGCCCUUAACCUGCGGGAUCUGAUCCCAUCUCCAGGUACACAGUGUGAGAACUGAGAUACUGCAGGACACCCAGCUUGUAUCUGAGGACUGUGUGGUGUGGGAAAAAUCCACACAUAUGGUGUCUGAAGUGAAGUCGAAUGCUGCAGUAGAGGAAAAACAGAGGCUUUUUUUUUUUUUUUUAAAACAUGGAUACAACUCAAAUUUGCAUCAACAGAUGAGUGGAUGAACAAUCGCGAUGACGGCAAACACCAGAACACGACUUAGCAAUAAAAAAGCAUUAAUCUACCUACACACACAACACGAACGAACAUCAAAAUUAUUAUGCUGAGCGAAAGCAGCCAGACACUACAGAGGACGACAUGUGUGAUGGCACUGGCCUGAAAUUCAUCUAGAGUGACAGGAAGCAGCAUCGAGAUAUUCAUGACACGCAUCGAGAUGGUGAUGACGCUCCGGGGUGUCGCCAGAUGGUCUGGCUGUGAGCCGUGAGCAUCAGAGAAUCGACCGCCCCCAGCAACCUGGAGAGGUUUGGAGAGAACCUGUCAGCAAACGGCCGCACUGGCUUCGUCGGGAGCCCCGCGCUGUGGCUGUUUGCCAAGGGCA
This is a long non-coding RNA of Orcinus orca (killer whale), 925 nucleotides long. RefSeq lists it as uncharacterized. The record is from RefSeq and is a predicted model, not a curated record. The transcript has 3 exons. NCBI's taxonomy places the organism in Eukaryota, Metazoa, Chordata, Mammalia, Artiodactyla, Delphinidae.